AUGUAUGGUGUCAGACUGUCAGCUAUCUCGGCACCUGCUAGAACUUUCCACACUGCUUGGGUCAACUUGACCCCUUGAACAUCUCCACACACCGCAAACACAAACAGUUUUUAAUACGAGGAAGCAAGUUGCAGAACCUGUAAGGGAUCAUCAAUAAACUAAGGGAAAAUACAAGUUGCAAGUAUAAAGCAUCAAGGAAAUGGGAUAUGUAUUAGUAAUAUCGUUUCCGGUGAUCCUCUUCCUCUUGAUUUUAGCCAUAGCAUGUUAUCUUCUUGGUAGGGCUCGGGGUCGACAACAAUCUGCUCCUCAAUAUUAUGGGCCUCCUGUUCCUGCUCCUCCACCUUCUGUUCUGCAUUUUCAAGCUCCCGGUGAUUCUAAAUAGUCUCAAUUAAAUCAUGUGACCAGUAUUGUGCUCUCUUGUGCUUCUGAACUAUACAUAAUACCUUAGAUAUAUUGUUAAAUGUUAGUUUAUUUGAAAUUAUAGAGGAUGCUUGUUUUCUGUUUAUUGUUUGUUUAACCUGUAUAGUAUACAAUUAGUACUUCUAUAAAGUGAAAGAAACAUAUUUUACCUUGAUUUAA
Daucus carota subsp. sativus is the source of this 579-nucleotide long non-coding RNA. RefSeq lists it as uncharacterized. NCBI's taxonomy places the organism in Eukaryota, Viridiplantae, Streptophyta, Magnoliopsida, Apiales, Apiaceae. The record is from RefSeq and is a predicted model, not a curated record. The transcript is spliced from 2 exons.